RNAcentral lists this ribosomal RNA (450 nucleotides) under uncultured Alphaproteobacteria bacterium. Its description in RNAcentral is "bacterial SSU rRNA". It matches the Rfam family "Bacterial small subunit ribosomal RNA", at positions 947 to 1394 of the family's 1533-position model. The record is from RNAcentral. Lineage: Bacteria; Pseudomonadati; Pseudomonadota; Alphaproteobacteria.
CAAUUCGACGCAACGCGAAGAACCUUACCAGGCCUUGACAUCCCGAUUGCGGCCCCUUGAAAGAGGGGCUUUCAGUUCGGCUGGAUCGGUGACAGGUGCUGCAUGGCUGUCGUCAGCUCGUGUCGUGAGAUGUUGGGUUAAGUCCCGCAACGAGCGCAACCCUCGCCCUUAGUUGCCAUCAUUUAGUUGGGCACUCUAAGGGGACUGCCGGUGAUAAGCCGCGAGGAAGGUGGGGAUGACGUCAAGUCCUCAUGGCCCUUACGGCCUGGGCUACACACGUGCUACAAUGGCGGUGACAGUGGGCAGCUAAAGCGCAAGCUCAAGCUAAUCUCAAAAAGCCGUCUCAGUUCGGAUUGGAGUCUGCAACUCGACUCCAUGAAGUUGGAAUCGCUAGUAAUCGUGGAUCAGCACGCCACGGUGAAUACGUUCCCGGGCCUUGUACACACCGCC